UAGUCAUAUGCUUGUCUCAAAGAUUAAGCCAUGCAUGUCUCAGUGCAAGCCGUCCUGUACGGUGAAACCGCGAAAGGCUCAUUAAAUCAGUUAUGGUUCCUUAGAUAGUACCCACGUUACUUGGAUAACUGUGGUAAUUCUAGAGCUAAUACAUGCCGACAGAGUUCCGACCAGCGUCGCGGCGGCUUGCCGUUCGCGACGUUCGGAAGGAGCGCUUUUAUUAGAUCAAAAUCGGCCAAGCGCAACGUUCGCGUAGCGUUAGUGGCCCGCGCAAAGACUUGACGACUCUGAAUAACUUCGAGCUGAUCGCACGGUCUCGCACCGGCGACGUAUCUUUCAAAUGUCUGCCUUAUCAACUGUCGACGGUACGUUCGAUGCUUACCGUGGUGGUAACGGGUAACGGGGAAUCAGGGUUCGAUUCCGGAGAGGGAGCCUGAGAAACGGCUACCACAUCCAAGGAAGGCAGCAGGCGCGCAAAUUACCCACUCCCAGCUCGGGGAGGUAGUGACGAAAAAUAACGAUACGGGACUCAUCCGAGGCCCCG
This 544-nucleotide ribosomal RNA is filed under the name Aspidiotus nerii (oleander scale). RNAcentral's name for it is "SSU rRNA". It matches the Rfam family "Eukaryotic small subunit ribosomal RNA", at positions 21 to 505 of the family's 1831-position model. Lineage: Eukaryota; Metazoa; Arthropoda; Insecta; Hemiptera; Diaspididae. The record is from RNAcentral.